CUGAGAACAGGAAGGAGGACCUCCGGAAUCAGGCCUCCAAAAACACCAAAAGGUCUACUGAGAACAGGAAGGAGGACCUCCGAAAUCAGGCCUCCAAAAACACCAAGAGGUCUACUGAGAACAGGAAGGAAGACCUCCGGAAUCAGGUCUCCAAAAACACCAAGAGGU
Ornithodoros turicata is the source of this 168-nucleotide long non-coding RNA. RefSeq lists it as uncharacterized. Lineage: Eukaryota; Metazoa; Arthropoda; Arachnida; Ixodida; Argasidae. The record is from RefSeq and is a predicted model, not a curated record. The transcript has 3 exons.